UACCCACCAUUUGCUUCAACGUGGAUGGAACUGGAGGGUAUUAUGCUGAGUGAAAAAGGAAUUGCAGAAGAUGCUUUGAGAAGAGAGUUACAAUUGACCAGAGGCUAGGUAAACCAAGAUAACAUUGUACUGUUGUUUAAAGGUAAAAGAGAAGAUUCUUUUGCAUCUUUUUCCUCAGAAAACUAUAAAGUGUGACUGAAUAUUAUAUGAAAGUGAUUUCAUCAUUUGUUUUCAUCUUGGUGAAGAUCAAAACCUUCAUGCAUAUUUCAAGCCAAAAUGAAAAUUAUAUUUGUGUACCCACUUCUUAAGUUAUGACAUUUCCAAUUUGAUUUGUGUGGAUCUUCUUCAAUUAUGUUAUUUGCAUGUUGCUCUAAAAAUAGUAUUCAAAGAAAUUCUUAAAGGACAAGUAUGCUUUUUUUUUUAACCUUUUAGUUUUUCAUACUUCAGCACUACACUUUAUUCCUGUUCUCUCCCUUAUCUGCUGUCAGCAGUGGGCCUACUUACAUAGACAGAUUAAAAACUUUUUUCCCAUUUGCCAUGACAACACCCAGCUAAUGUUUGCUGAUAAACUAGUAGCAGGUCAGAGCAUUUACAAAAUGCAGGAGAAAUUCAUACUCCUGAGUAACAACUUUAAUUCAGGAGUAAAGGAGAUUGUAUGCUAAAGUAAAUUCAUAUGGUAUUAACAUUUUAUCAAAUUUCUUGUAAUUUUUAUGCAAAUAAAAUACCCUCUGUUGAGUCCUCA
Long non-coding RNA from Canis lupus familiaris (dog), 742 nucleotides. RefSeq lists it as uncharacterized. The transcript has 2 exons. NCBI's taxonomy places the organism in Eukaryota, Metazoa, Chordata, Mammalia, Carnivora, Canidae. The record is from RefSeq and is a predicted model, not a curated record.